This is a long non-coding RNA of Erigeron canadensis, 453 nucleotides long. RefSeq lists it as uncharacterized. The transcript is spliced from 3 exons. Lineage: Eukaryota; Viridiplantae; Streptophyta; Magnoliopsida; Asterales; Asteraceae. The record is from RefSeq and is a predicted model, not a curated record.
CACACCUACCUACAUAUAUCUCUCUCCCAUUCUUGAAGUAUCCGGCCAGCCGCCUGGAAACCGACCUCAGCCGCCGGAAAUCGAAGCCAGCCAUCGGAACCAGCGACAUCCACCACCACCCCACCAUCUCCAUCUUAUUUACAACCAUAUUAACUUUUUUCCUCCACCCUCUUUCACAACCGCCGGCCACCCACCUACGGGAAAUCCCCACUGCCGCCGCCGAUCUCGCCGGAAAAGUUCACGGCCGGAAAAAAGCCAACCACCGCCGCAAGCCUUGCCUUUGUCGGAUUUAUUGGAAGAGCAAAAAUAUGGGGAUUUCAUAUUUCAUUGUACAAUUUAUUACAUGUAAUUUGUUCUUUAAUUAUUGUUGAUGUGUUUAUGGUAUAUGAAUGUUUGAUUUAAUGUAAAUUUUAUUGAUUGCAAAAUUUAUUACAUCUGUAUGCAAAUGUUGGA